GCUGAAGUGACAAAUGCCCUGCUUCCAGGAAAAGCCUCUAAGCAUCAGGUAACAUCAAAUCGUACCCCAAACCGACACAGGUGGUCAGGUAGAGAAUACCAAGGCGCUUGAGAGAACUCGGGUGAAGGAACUAGGCAAAAUGGUGCCGUAACUUCGGGAGAAGGCACGCUGACAUGUAGGUGAAGCCCCUGCGGGUGGAGCUGAAGUCAGUCGAAGAUACCAGCUGGCUGCAACUGUUUAUUAAAAACACAGCACUGUGCAAACACGAAAGUGGACGUAUACGGUGUGACGCCUGCCCGGUGCCGGAAGGUUAAUUGAUGGGGUUAUCGCAAGAGAAGCUCCUGAUCGAAGCCCCGGUAAACGGCGGCCGUAACUAUAACGGUCCUAAGGUAGCGAAAUUCCUUGUCGGGUAAGUUCCGACCUGCACGAAUGGCGUAAUGAUGGCCAGGCUGUCUCCACCCGAGACUCAGUGAAAUUGAACUCGCUGUGAAGAUGCAGUGUACCCGCGGCAAGACGGAAAGACCCCGUGAACCUUUACUACAGCUUGACACUGAACAUUGAGCCUUGAUGUGUAGGAUAGGUGGGAGGCUUUGAAGCGUGGACGCCAGUCUGCGUGGAGCCGACCUUGAAAUACCACCCUUUAAUGUUUGAUGUUCUAACCUGGCGCCGUGAUCCGGCGUGGGGACAGUGUCUGGUGGGUAGUUUGACUGGGGCGGUCUCCUCCCAAAGUGUAACGGAGGAGCACGAAGGUCAGCUAAUCCUGGUCGGACAUCAGGAGGUUAGUGCAAUGGCAUAAGCUGGCUUGACUGCGAGAGUGACGGCUCGAGCAGGUGCGAAAGCAGGUCAUAGUGAUCCGGUGGUUCUGUAUGGAAGGGCCAUCGCUCAACGGAUAAAAGGUACUCCGGGGAUAACAGGCUGAUACCGCCCAAGAGUUCAUAUCGACGGCGGUGUUUGGCACCUCGAUGUCGGCUCAUCACAUCCUGGGGCUGAAGUAGGUCCCAAGGGUAUGGCUGUUCGCCAUUUAAAGUGGUACGCGAGCUGGGUUUAGAACGUCGUGAGACAGUUCGGUCCCUAUCUGCCGUGGGCGCUGGAGAAUUGAGGGGGGCUGCUCCCAGUACGAGAGGACCGGAGUGGACGCAUCACUGGUGUUCGGGUUGUCAUGCCAAUGGCACUGCCCGGUAGCUAAAUGCGGAAGAGAUAAGUGCUGAAAGCAUCUAAGCACGAAACUUGCCCCGAGAUGAGUUCUCCCUGAGACUGUAAGUCUCCUGAAGGAACGUUGAAGACGACGACGUUGAUAGGCCGGGUGUGUAAGCGCAGCGAUGCGUUGAGCUAACCGGUACUAAUGAACCGUGAGGCUUAACCUU
RNAcentral lists this ribosomal RNA (1364 nucleotides) under Cronobacter sakazakii. RNAcentral's name for it is "partial 23S ribosomal RNA". It matches the Rfam family "Bacterial large subunit ribosomal RNA", at positions 1584 to 2925 of the family's 2925-position model. The record is from RNAcentral. Lineage: Bacteria; Pseudomonadati; Pseudomonadota; Gammaproteobacteria; Enterobacterales; Enterobacteriaceae.